Long non-coding RNA from Oreochromis aureus, 348 nucleotides. The record is from Ensembl. Lineage: Eukaryota; Metazoa; Chordata; Actinopteri; Cichliformes; Cichlidae.
CAUAUGUGCUGUGGAGGUGCAGUCCGAUUAUUUGAUUAUCAGCAGCUGGCUGCUGCUUAGCCUCUGAAUUCCUGUGGCAGCAGUAAGGGUGGACUUGCGUCAUUUUGGAAGAUUGGAGGAUUUUCAUGUCCUGAUUUGUAAAGCUUCAGACUUUUUGUCACAACAAACAGCUGACUGACGGUCAUGAAGGUCUUUGUGCUCGUUUGUUUGGAUCUAAACGUCUCUCAUCCACCAUUCUGACCUCCAUGUCUGAACUGCAGGGGGCUCUGGCAGACUCUGGUUCCUCCCCUCCACUCUUGAUCUCAGUUGCUUGCUCAGGCUUAUCCCGCCUCCUGGAUCACAUCCUCG